RNAcentral lists this ribosomal RNA (465 nucleotides) under Vreelandella stevensii. RNAcentral describes it as "partial 16S ribosomal RNA". It matches the Rfam family "Bacterial small subunit ribosomal RNA", at positions 338 to 795 of the family's 1533-position model. The record is from RNAcentral. Lineage: Bacteria; Pseudomonadati; Pseudomonadota; Gammaproteobacteria; Oceanospirillales; Halomonadaceae.
CCUACGGGCGGCAGCAGUGGGGAAUAUUGGACAAUGGGGGCAACCCUGAUCCAGCCAUGUCGCGUGUGUGAAGAAGGCCCUCGGGUUGUAAAGCACUUUCAGUGAGGAAGAACGCCUGGUGGUUAAUACCCAUCAGGAAAGACAUCACUCACAGAAGAAGCACCGGCUAACUCCGUGCCAGCAGCCGCGGUAAUACGGAGGGUGCGAGCGUUAAUCGGAAUUACUGGGCGUAAAGCGCGCGUAGGUGGCUUGAUAAGCCGGUUGUGAAAGCCCCGGGCUCAACCUGGGAACGGCAUCCGGAACUGUCAAGCUAGAGUGCAGGAGAGGAAGGUAGAAUUCCCGGUGUAGCGGUGAAAUGCGUAGAGAUCGGGAGGAAUACCAGUGGCGAAGGCGGCCUUCUGGACUGACACUGACACUGAGGUGCGAAAGCGUGGGUAGCAAACAGGAUUAGAUACCCUAGUAGUC